RNAcentral lists this transfer-messenger RNA (287 nucleotides) under Candidatus Thiodiazotropha taylori. RNAcentral describes it as "partial transfer-messenger RNA". It matches the Rfam family "transfer-messenger RNA", at positions 1 to 294 of the family's 374-position model. From Rfam's summary of the family: Bacterial tmRNA, also known as 10Sa RNA or SsrA, is named for its dual tRNA and mRNA-like properties. Its role is to liberate the mRNA from a stalled ribosome. To accomplish this part of the tmRNA is used as a reading frame that ends in a translation stop signal. Lineage: Bacteria; Pseudomonadati; Pseudomonadota; Gammaproteobacteria; Chromatiales; Sedimenticolaceae. The record is from RNAcentral.
GGGGGCGACGUAGGCUUCGACGGGGGUUGCAAAACCUAAAGUGCAUGCCGAGGUGCAGAGUACCUCGCUAAACCAUCUGCAAACUUAUAGUUGCCAACGACGACAACUACGCACUCGCUGCUUAAUACCCAGUAGGGUGCCGUCUGACUGGAGCCGUGCUUGUGCGUCCAGCUUUUCAGGCGUCAUAUCUCACAAGAUCGCGUUGAAGCUCGUCCGGGGUGGAAACGUUAAAACCUAUCCGGAAUCGCCUAUUACACGCCCUGUCCGUCGGGUGGUAAUCGGUUAAA